UAGCGGGAGGCCUAACACAUGCAAGCCGAGCGGUAGAUAUUCUUCGGAAUCUUGAGAGCGGCGUACGGGUGCGGAACACGUGUGCAACCUACCUUUAUCGGGGGGAUAGCCUUUCGAAAGAAAAAUUAAUACCCCAUAAUAUAUUGAAGGGCAUCUUUUAAUAUUGAAAACUCCGGUGGAUAGAGAUGGGCACGCCCAAAAUUAGAUAGUUGGUGGGGUAACGGCCUACCAAGUCAAUGAUCUUUAGGGGGCCUGAGAGGGUGAUCCCCCACACUGGUACUGAAACACGGACCAAACUCCUACGGGAGGCAGCAGUGAGGAAUAUUGGACAAUGGGUGAGAGCCUGAUCCAGCCAUCCCGCGUGAAGGACGACGGCCCUAUGGGUUGUAAACUUCUUUUGUAUAGGGAUAAACCUACUCUCGUGAGAGUAGCUGAAGGUACUAUACAAAUAAGCACCGGCUAACUCCGUGCCAGCAGCCGCGGUAAUACGGAGGGGGCAAGCGUUAUCCGGAUUUAUUGGGUUUAAAGGGUCCGUAGGCGGAUCUGUAAGUCAGUGGUGAAAUCUCAUAGCUUAACUAUGAAACUGCCAUUGAUACUGCAGGUCUUGAGUAAAGUAAAAGUGGCUGGAAUAAGUAGUGUAGCGGUGAAAUGCAUAUAUAUUACUUAGAACACCAAUUGCGAAGGCAGGUCACUAUGUUUUAACUGACGCUGAUGGACGAAAGCGUGGGGAGCGAACAGGAUUAGAUACCCUGGUAGUCCACGCCUAAAACGAUGCUAACUCGUUUUUGGGCUUUCGGAUUCAGAGACUAAGCGAAAGUGAUAAGUUAGCCACCUGGGGAGUACGUUCGCAAGAAUGAAACUCAAAGGAAUUGACGGGGGCCCGCACAAGCGGUGGAUUAUGUGGUUUAAUUCGAUGAUACGCGAGGAACCUUACCAAGGCUUAAAUGGGAAUUGACAGGUUUAGAAAUAGACUUUUCUUCGGACAAUUUCAAGGUGCUGCAUGGUUGUUGUCAGCUCGUGCCGUGAGGUGUUAGGUUAAGUCCUGCAACGAGCGCAACCCCUGUCACUAGUUGCCAUCAUUCAGUUGGGGACUCUAGUGAGACUGCCUACGCAAGUAGAGAGGAAGGUGGGGAUGACGUCAAAUCAUCACGGCCCUUACGCCUUGGGCCACACACGUAAUACAAUGGCCAGUACAGAGGGCAGCUACCAGGCGACUGGAUGCGAAUCUCGAAAGCUGGUCUCAGUUCGGAUUGGAGUCUGCAACUCGACUCUAUGAAGCUGGAAUCGCUAGUAAUCGCAUAUCAGCCAUGAUGCGGUGAAUACGUUCCCGGGCCUUGUACACACCGCCCGUCAAGCCAUGGAAGUUUGGGGUACCUGAAGUCGGUGACCGUAACAGGAGCUGCCUAGGGUAAAAC
This 1415-nucleotide ribosomal RNA is filed under the name Chryseobacterium sp. CH21. RNAcentral describes it as "bacterial SSU rRNA". It matches the Rfam family "Bacterial small subunit ribosomal RNA". The record is from RNAcentral. Lineage: Bacteria; Pseudomonadati; Bacteroidota; Flavobacteriia; Flavobacteriales; Weeksellaceae.